This 540-nucleotide ribosomal RNA is filed under the name Triticum aestivum (bread wheat). Its description in RNAcentral is "partial small subunit ribosomal RNA". Lineage: Eukaryota; Viridiplantae; Streptophyta; Magnoliopsida; Poales; Poaceae. The record is from RNAcentral.
AUGGUGGACCCUAUAUUCAAGCUUUGCACUCCAGUUCUGAAGAGAGCAGCAGGUAGACCAAGGAAGAGUCGAAUCAGACCUCACAGCAAAGGAGCUGGACUUGGAGCGAGGAAGCGUAAGUGUACAAGGUGUGGUGGGUCUGCUCAUUUCGGUAAGUAUCGUGAUAACACAGUAGAUCCAACAUUCAGAGAGAGUUUCGAUGAAAAUGUUGGUCAGCAGCCGGUUGCUUCAACAGAUGAUGAAAAUGAUGGUCAACAGCCGGUUGCAUCAGAUGAGGAUUUUGACGAGGCUCCAAAUGAUGAUGGUCAACAGCCGCAUGAUUUUGACGAUGAUCCAAAACAUCCUCCAAAUAAUGAUUCAAGUGAGGCUCCAAAUAGUGAUCCAAGUGAGGCUCCAAAUGAUGAUCCAAGUGAGGCUCCAAAUGGUGACAAACCUUCUGUUGUUGUGAGUUCUGCUAGGUAUGUAAAUCUUGCAAAUACUACUAUACAUUUAUCACUUGACAUGAUCGCAUUACCCUUUAUGUUUUGCACAGCUCUAUGA